RNAcentral lists this ribosomal RNA (2921 nucleotides) under Escherichia coli. RNAcentral's name for it is "23S ribosomal RNA". It matches the Rfam family "Bacterial large subunit ribosomal RNA". Lineage: Bacteria; Pseudomonadati; Pseudomonadota; Gammaproteobacteria; Enterobacterales; Enterobacteriaceae. The record is from RNAcentral.
GGUUAAGCGACUAAGCGUACACGGUGGAUGCCCUGGCAGUCAGAGGCGAUGAAGGACGUGCUAAUCUGCGAUAAGCGUCGGUAAGGUGAUAUGAACCGUUAUAACCGGCGAUUUCCGAAUGGGGAAACCCAGUGUGUUUCGACACACUAUCAUUAACUGAAUCCAUAGGUUAAUGAGGCGAACCGGGGGAACUGAAACAUCUAAGUACCCCGAGGAAAAGAAAUCAACCGAGAUUCCCCCAGUAGCGGCGAGCGAACGGGGAGCAGCCCAGAGCCUGAAUCAGUGUGUGUGUUAGUGGAAGCGUCUGGAAAGGCGCGCGAUACAGGGUGACAGCCCCGUACACAAAAAUGCACAUGCUGUGAGCUCGAUGAGUAGGGCGGGACACGUGGUAUCCUGUCUGAAUAUGGGGGGACCAUCCUCCAAGGCUAAAUACUCCUGACUGACCGAUAGUGAACCAGUACCGUGAGGGAAAGGCGAAAAGAACCCCGGCGAGGGGAGUGAAAAAGAACCUGAAACCGUGUACGUACAAGCAGUGGGAGCACGCUUAGGCGUGUGACUGCGUACCUUUUGUAUAAUGGGUCAGCGACUUAUAUUCUGUAGCAAGGUUAACCGAAUAGGGGAGCCGAAGGGAAACCGAGUCUUAACUGGGCGUUAAGUUGCAGGGUAUAGACCCGAAACCCGGUGAUCUAGCCAUGGGCAGGUUGAAGGUUGGGUAACACUAACUGGAGGACCGAACCGACUAAUGUUGAAAAAUUAGCGGAUGACUUGUGGCUGGGGGUGAAAGGCCAAUCAAACCGGGAGAUAGCUGGUUCUCCCCGAAAGCUAUUUAGGUAGCGCCUCGUGAAUUCAUCUCCGGGGGUAGAGCACUGUUUCGGCAAGGGGGUCAUCCCGACUUACCAACCCGAUGCAAACUGCGAAUACCGGAGAAUGUUAUCACGGGAGACACACGGCGGGUGCUAACGUCCGUCGUGAAGAGGGAAACAACCCAGACCGCCAGCUAAGGUCCCAAAGUCAUGGUUAAGUGGGAAACGAUGUGGGAAGGCCCAGACAGCCAGGAUGUUGGCUUAGAAGCAGCCAUCAUUUAAAGAAAGCGUAAUAGCUCACUGGUCGAGUCGGCCUGCGCGGAAGAUGUAACGGGGCUAAACCAUGCACCGAAGCUGCGGCAGCGACGCUUAUGCGUUGUUGGGUAGGGGAGCGUUCUGUAAGCCUGUGAAGGUGUGCUGUGAGGCAUGCUGGAGGUAUCAGAAGUGCGAAUGCUGACAUAAGUAACGAUAAAGCGGGUGAAAAGCCCGCUCGCCGGAAGACCAAGGGUUCCUGUCCAACGUUAAUCGGGGCAGGGUGAGUCGACCCCUAAGGCGAGGCCGAAAGGCGUAGUCGAUGGGAAACAGGUUAAUAUUCCUGUACUUGGUGUUACUGCGAAGGGGGGACGGAGAAGGCUAUGUUGGCCGGGCGACGGUUGUCCCGGUUUAAGCGUGUAGGCUGGUUUUCCAGGCAAAUCCGGAAAAUCAAGGCUGAGGCGUGAUGACGAGGCACUACGGUGCUGAAGCGACAAAUGCCCUGCUUCCAGGAAAAGCCUCUAAGCAUCAGGUAACAUCAAAUCGUACCCCAAACCGACACAGGUGGUCAGGUAGAGAAUACCAAGGCGCUUGAGAGAACUCGGGUGAAGGAACUAGGCAAAAUGGUGCCGUAACUUCGGGAGAAGGCACGCUGAUAUGUAGGUGAAGUCCCUCGCGGAUGGAGCUGAAAUCAGUCGAAGAUACCAGCUGGCUGCAACUGUUUAUUAAAAACACAGCACUGUGCAAACACGAAAGUGGACGUAUACGGUGUGACGCCUGCCCGGUGCCGGAAGGUUAAUUGAUGGGGUCAGCGCAAGCGAAGCUCUUGAUCGAAGCCCCGGUAAACGGCGGCCGUAACUAUAACGGUCCUAAGGUAGCGAAAUUCCUUGUCGGGUAAGUUCCGACCUGCACGAAUGGCGUAAUGAUGGCCAGGCUGUCUCCACCCGAGACUCAGUGAAAUUGAACUCGCUGUGAAGAUGCAGUGUACCCGCGGCAAGACGGAAAGACCCCGUGAACCUUUACUAUAGCUUGACACUGAACAUUGAGCCUUGAUGUGUAGGAUAGGUGGGAGGCUUAGAAGUGUGGACGCCAGUCUGCAUGGAGCCGACCUUGAAAUACCACCCUUUAAUGUUUGAUGUUCUAACGUUGACCCGUAAUCCGGGUUGCGGACAGUGUCUGGUGGGUAGUUUGACUGGGGCGGUCUCCUCCUAAAGAGUAACGGAGGAGCACGAAGGUUGGCUAAUCCUGGUCGGACAUCAGGAGGUUAGUGCAAUGGCAUAAGCCAGCUUGACUGCGAGCGUGACGGCGCGAGCAGGUGCGAAAGCAGGUCAUAGUGAUCCGGUGGUUCUGAAUGGAAGGGCCAUCGCUCAACGGAUAAAAGGUACUCCGGGGAUAACAGGCUGAUACCGCCCAAGAGUUCAUAUCGACGGCGGUGUUUGGCACCUCGAUGUCGGCUCAUCACAUCCUGGGGCUGAAGUAGGUCCCAAGGGUAUGGCUGUUCGCCAUUUAAAGUGGUACGCGAGCUGGGUUUAGAACGUCGUGAGACAGUUCGGUCCCUAUCUGCCGUGGGCGCUGGAGAACUGAGGGGGGCUGCUCCUAGUACGAGAGGACCGGAGUGGACGCAUCACUGGUGUUCGGGUUGUCAUGCCAAUGGCACUGCCCGGUAGCUAAAUGCGGAAGAGAUAAGUGCUGAAAGCAUCUAAGCACGAAACUUGCCCCGAGAUGAGUUCUCCCUGACUCCUUGAGAGUCCUGAAGGAACGUUGAAGACGACGACGUUGAUAGGCCGGGUGUGUAAGCGCAGCGAUGCGUUGAGCUAACCGGUACUAAUGAACCGUGAGGCUUAACCUUACAACGCCGAAGCUGUU